This 371-nucleotide ribosomal RNA is filed under the name uncultured organism. RNAcentral's name for it is "partial 16S ribosomal RNA". It matches the Rfam family "Bacterial small subunit ribosomal RNA", at positions 527 to 896 of the family's 1533-position model. The record is from RNAcentral.
GUAGGUGGCAAGCGUUGUCCGGAAUUAUUGGGCGUAAAGCGCGCGCAGGCGGUUCUUUAAGUCUGAUGUGAAAGCCCACGGCUCAACCGUGGAGGGUCAUUGGGAACUGGAGAACUUGAGUACAGAAGAGGAAAGCGGAAUUCCACGUGUAGCGGUGAAAUGCGUAGAGAUGUGGAGGAACACCAGUGGCGAAGGCGGCUUUCUGGUCUGUAACUGACGCUGAGGCGCGAAAGCGUGGGGAGCAAACAGGAUUAGAUACCCUGGUAGUCCACGCCGUAAACGAUGAGUGCUAAGUGUUAGGGGGUUUCCGCCCCCCUUAGUGCUGCAGCUAACGCAUUAAGCACUCCGCCUGGGAUACGGCCACAAGGCUG